This 476-nucleotide long non-coding RNA is filed under the name Serinus canaria (Common canary). Its description in RNAcentral is "lncRNA (ENSSCAG00000014516.1)". The record is from RNAcentral. Lineage: Eukaryota; Metazoa; Chordata; Aves; Passeriformes; Fringillidae.
GUACCAACUCAUUUCUUAAUCUAUGUAGGUUUACUGACUAUUCCUCAAGGCACUGGAUCAGCGUAUUUGGAGCAGCUGGCACAAGUCAUAAGGAAUAGAAGCUCCUUCAUUACACCUGCAAUUGGGAUUUCCCACUGCCUCUCAAAGUGGCAUCACUGAAGGGGACAGCUGUUACUGCUGUGGGAGAUCAAGAGCUCCUUCCAGUUGCAUCUUCUGUGUCAUCUGCAAAACCCCCAGUUACAAUCCCCAGUGUGCUGGCUGCAGAGAGGCCACCUUGUCAACUGGGAUCCCAUCAAGUGCUCUGAGCUCCUGUCCCUCCAUCAGAACUGAAGAGGUGCAGCAUGGCUCACAACUGCCUGCAGUGUAUCAAGUACCUAAUGUUUGUUUUCAACCUUCUCUUCUGGGUGAGUACACUUUUGGAACCGUGAAACGGUUUUUGUGUCUGUUUACUGAGGUGGAAGAUGAACUUGUUGCUG